RNAcentral lists this ribosomal RNA (830 nucleotides) under Staphylococcus aureus. RNAcentral's name for it is "bacterial SSU rRNA". It matches the Rfam family "Bacterial small subunit ribosomal RNA", at positions 79 to 894 of the family's 1533-position model. The record is from RNAcentral. Lineage: Bacteria; Bacillati; Bacillota; Bacilli; Caryophanales; Staphylococcaceae.
UGCUUCUCUGAUGUUAGCGGCGGACGGGUGAGUAACACGUGGAUAACCUACCUAUAAGACUGGGAUAACUUCGGGAAACCGGAGCUAAUACCGGAUAAUAUUUUGAACCGCAUGGUUCAAAAGUGAAAGACGGUCUUGCUGUCACUUAUAGAUGGAUCCGCGCUGCAUUAGCUAGUUGGUAAGGUAACGGCUUACCAAGGCAACGAUGCAUAGCCGACCUGAGAGGGUGAUCGGCCACACUGGAACUGAGACACGGUCCAGACUCCUACGGGAGGCAGCAGUAGGGAAUCUUCCGCAAUGGGCGAAAGCCUGACGGAGCAACGCCGCGUGAGUGAUGAAGGUCUUCGGAUCGUAAAACUCUGUUAUUAGGGAAGAACAUAUGUGUAAGUAACUGUGCACAUCUUGACGGUACCUAAUCAGAAAGCCACGGCUAACUACGUGCCAGCAGCCGCGGUAAUACGUAGGUGGCAAGCGUUAUCCGGAAUUAUUGGGCGUAAAGCGCGCGUAGGCGGUUUUUUAAGUCUGAUGUGAAAGCCCACGGCUCAACCGUGGAGGGUCAUUGGAAACUGGAAAACUUGAGUGCAGAAGAGGAAAGUGGAAUUCCAUGUGUAGCGGUGAAAUGCGCAGAGAUAUGGAGGAACACCAGUGGCGAAGGCGACUUUCUGGUCUGUAACUGACGCUGAUGUGCGAAAGCGUGGGGAUCAAACAGGAUUAGAUACCCUGGUAGUCCACGCCGUAAACGAUGAGUGCUAAGUGUUAGGGGGGUUUCCGCCCCUUAGUGCUGCAGCUAACGCAUUAAGCACUCCGCCGGGGGAGUACGACCGCAAGGU